Molecule: ribosomal RNA, 253 nt
Filed under: uncultured bacterium
Lineage: Bacteria
Description: partial 16S ribosomal RNA
Rfam family: Bacterial small subunit ribosomal RNA
Source: RNAcentral
UACGUAGGGUGCAAGCGUUGUCCGGAAUUAUUGGGCGUAAAGAGCUCGUAGGCGGCUAGUCGCGUCGGCUGUGAAAACCUGGGGCUCAACCCCGGGCCUGCAGACGAUACGGGCUAGCUAGAAUUCGGUAGGGGAGACUGGAAUUCCUGGUGUAGCGGUGAAAUGCGCAGAUAUCAGGAGGAACACCGGUGGCGAAGGCGGGUCUCUGGGCCGAUAUUGACGCUGAGGAGCGAAAGCGUGGGGAGCGAACAGG